RNAcentral lists this long non-coding RNA (4501 nucleotides) under Xyrichtys novacula (pearly razorfish). Lineage: Eukaryota; Metazoa; Chordata; Actinopteri; Labriformes; Labridae. The record is from RNAcentral.
CAGUACAUAAAAUACACAUAGAAUGACACAUACACACAGACAAAGCAGAUACAACAGCAAGAGGAGUAGAGUAAUCAUAAGCACCAUUAUACAAAUGCCUAAAGAACAUUUUGUGCUUUGCCCUCAUGACAAGCCUUGCUGAAAGACACUGUAGUUACAGAGAGAGGUUUUAUUUCAGCUCGAACAGUUUCAAGACAUUGUUUUGGUGAGAAUGUAAAUGGAGUAGAAAUGCCCAGAGGUGUUUUUACUGUCAAGGGUUGAAUGCUGGUAAAACACGUGAAAAUUUUUUUGUGAGUUUAGUGUGUCUUGUGGAAAGUGUAUUUUACAAUUACACAUGUUGACAUGUGUGUGUGUAGUUGUACAUGCUUUUUGUGUACAGGCUAAAUGUAAAAAUGUAAUCUUAUGUACUGUAAUUAUCGUGUUGACUGCUUUGCAUCGAUGUUCUUGAGGGGCAAUGAUCAAUACGCCAUCACAGAGUCUUUGACGUACCGCUCCUGUAUAUGUGUUUGUAGCCUGAAGCUCACAAGUGUUCUCACAUUAUAAGCGAUUCUCUCUGUUUGUUACGUUGUGUCUGUCAUUUUUGAAUGUUAAAUAUUUAAUUUUUGUUUAAGUAAAUAUUAAAUUGAAAAACAUACUCAUUUGGUUUUAGAUGUUUAUUUUUUCUUUUGCACUGAUUGAACAGCGACUGGUGUAACAGGGUUUAUAUGGAUUGUUCCACUUGCAUGAUGUAGGAUUUGUUAUUUUGUAUGGUUGGCUCAAUGGCACCCUCUCUCGGGUUGAGUUUAUAUAUUCAAUGAGCAAUGUUAUGGCUUAACCACUCAGUGAGAGACGUGCCUGCUGUGAGUAGCUGUGUACAGCGCUGUGUACAAUUCUAUGUAUUAACAGGGGCGUAGCAGCAAGUUCUGGGCCCUGUACACUCUCAAUGUCCGUGAAUCCCUAUCCAUGCCAGUGCAUGAGGCGCAUGAGCAAAACUAGGAUUUUCAUGUGGCCCUAUCCCUACUCGGGCCCUGGGUAGUCAGGUCCACUCCCCCCCCAACUUCCACGCCCAUGUGUAUUAAUGUUGCUAUUACCACUUACUGGUCUCAGGAAUUCACUACAGCAUGAUUGUCGACAUGUAUGAGAUUAUUAAGUGUAAUUCAUAUGAGCUAACAUGUCAAUAACAUAUUAAAAUGAAUGCGAUAGCUAACUAGCCUUUACUCUUCUUGGUGUGUUACCCAAGCAUGCUGCUGUACAAGCCAACCCAUGGGCCCCUGAGGGAACAUGAGUGAAGAAAAUAAAUAAAAAAAUAUUCUCCAGUUUUUUUCUCGAGAUCUCACAAAACUAUUGCAGGCUCUUGUAAUAGUUUUGCAUGUCCUUGUAAAACUAUUGCGAGAUCUUGCAAAUGUUAUCUGAGUUCUUGGUCAGUGUAUUACUUUCGUUUUAAUUUAACACUAAAAUUGGAACGUACGCAGCUAUGGGAAAGGUUCAUUGAAUUUUAUUUUGAAUACAUUUUCUGCCCACCUUGUCCCUUUGCAUGCACAUAAUGUCCCCGUUAGGGAUGUCCCACGGUCAUCCCAGUGUUACAUGGGAUGACCAUGGGAAUUCUUUCAAAUUGUCCUCCACGACUCGUGUUUCAUAAGAAAACAGUGUCUGCGUCACAGAACCGAUUCAAUAUCUUUUUAUCGGAGGCCAAUCUCAAGAAAAGAUCCAAUGAACCUCUAAUAAUAAUAAUGCAUCCGAUUUUUAUAGCGCAUUAUCAGAGACCCUCAAAGCACUUUACAUUGGAUACAUCAUUCAUUCACUCACACAGUCACACCUCUGUGGUGGUAAACUACCUUAGUUGUCACAGUUGCUCUGGGGCAGACUGACGGAAACGUGGCUGCCAGUUUGCACCUACGGCCUCUCCAACCACCACCACACAACACUCACAUUCAUACACCAGUGGAGGACACACACUGACUGAGAGCAAGGUGGGUUAAGUGUCUUGCCCAAGGACACAACGGACAGACUAGGGAUAGGGGGGAAUCAAACCGCCAACCUUUCAGUUAUUGGCCGACUGCUCUACCUCCUGAGCUACUGCCGCCCACGAGUGCGUACGUUCCAUCGUCUGGGUUGACCUGACAUGGAGGAAAUACACUGAUCUAGAAUCCUCUUUCUUAUAACCCUUUGACAACUUUGCCAGAUCUCACAAUAGUUUUGCAGGAGCACAGAAAAGAUCUCGAGAAAAUUCACAUCCAGCCCUCUGGAUGUCCCUGCCCGGCCCUUUGUGAGGUCGGUCAAUCAAAUCAUCAACAUGCUAUAAAAGUGUGUUACUUUUAUCUUGAAAAACUUUGCCGUUGUUUUAUUUCGAUUUGGACGCAAGUGUGUACAUUGUAGAUCUGCAUUUGUGAACAGAGACAAGUUUUAACAUCUGCGAAAUAUAAGUAGACGCCUUAUAGUUGCCAAGUCCGCUUAUUAUAAACAAUUUUAGGCUUGUUUUUCUCAAAAGUUGCUUGGAAAAUUCGUGAGUUGCGGGUGCGCUUUUUUGGGCUUGUCAUUAACUCGUAGUUGCUUAUUUGGGCUUGAUUUUCUGUAUGUGUGAACCCCCAACCCCCAAAUUGAAGUUAAAGUUAUUGUUCAGGUUUUUUAUGUGGCCUCAUGUAAAAAUUAAUUGCCCACCCCUGCUCAAGGGGCUCUGUACCAACCAUAUGACUGACUAUAAUUUAUUCUGUUCCUGUUCAGAUAAUGAACUGUGGAUACAGACAGACAAGCAUCCUGCGAAUCUUUAAAACACAACCCACAUCCAAGAGGUUUACUUAAUCAGCCAGGUGCUGUGAAGGGCAAUUAAGCAUGGUUACACUAGCCUGGUAAAUGAUCAAUCAAUACAUUCCAGCUAUAGGAAGAAGAAAACGAGGUACGGUAGCUGUGGUACAUUCAAUCCGCUAUAAGUAACUUCUCCACAGUGAAAACUGUGAUGACCAUCUUGAGGGGCUUGAAAUUUAAAGAAGUAAUUAAAGGCCCUAGGGUGCUUCUUGGUUGAAGUAGGAGUAAUCACACGUCUCCCAGGAUAUAUUAUAAUUAGGGUAAGUAAUGACUGACUCUGUAGAAAGCCCUUCUAUAAGAGAAUGUGAACAACAGUAAAAUGUCUUCUUAUUCCUUUGAAACACACUUUCAGUAUGGUCUACCAUGUAGGUGACAGAGUGAGGCCUUAAAUGUACAUCCUUUCAUUUUCACUCACAGUCAGACUUUUGUCUGGUUGUGAUGUCAAAGAAAUGACUGUCAGGUGGCAGACAGAGAGAGCCUUAUAAUUUAAGAGAAGCAGAACAUUGUCAAGUAGAUUUGAUAUGAAUGCUCAGUGGCGAGACUGGAAAGAUUUGAUUGCCUUUAAAAAAAGAGAAAAACUUGGAUGAAGGCUCAUCAUGUAUAGAUAAUAAGCAGACUACAUCACCACCCCCAGAUGUCUGUCCAAUAAACAGUGUAAUUAAGCAAAUAAACAAGCUUUUCAGACCAAACAGACCAGACUGAAAGCACAUUGAGAUUUAUUGUUGUGAGCUACAAUGUGAACUCAGUCUAUGCAGUUGAAGGUCACAACCUAGAAGAACAUUCGAUGUGGCACAAAACUUAAAGUACUUUUGCAAAGCAUAAUCCUAUGAAGACCAUAAAAACUCUAAUAACACAUACGUUCAUUUCUGUCUGGUCCAUCAGGUUAAAUUUCAUUAACUGCUUUUCACCCUCUCUUUGUCCCUCUGUUCUGUGUAUUAUCCUUCUCUCACUAUGCUCUCAUCUGCUCCUCUUUGUGAUAUUUAAUAACACGGUACUUGCUCAUGAUUGCACAGUGAAGUUUAUUGUCUCUUGCUUAGGUGUCUGGUAAUGUACAUCUAAAGCUACAGUGUACCGAGGACACACUCUGACUGAGGUCAUUUCAGCAUCCGUACCUUCGAUAGCACUCAACUUUUUUUUAUUUUUACACAAGUUGUCUUAUUCAUUUUCAGAACUGCUAAAGCCAACUGAAUCCAGCCUUUCUUCUUUUUCAGAGGAGUGCUUUGAUUUUCUUAAAAAUGUUUUUGCAUUUUCUGUUUCCCCACCAUGAGCAGCCUUACGACACAUUGAUUUUCACAUCCAAGCACUCCAGACUCUCUAAAAGAUCUCAAGGCAGGGACACUCAAGUUUAGUAACCUGCUGUUGAACUGGUGCUGGGGGAAAUUGGAAUUCACAAGGCAGCUAGACUUUUCCUCCAGCAGAUGGCAGAGACCUUACUGACCUUUUGUAGACUGAAGAAUUAACUACUACAAAUGAAAUGCUUCACAUAAUCUUUGAAGAAAACAAGAUAAAUACCCUAACCUUGGGUGAGUAUAAGGAUGGUUUGCAUGUAAAAUUCAUAACCCUCCAUUUCCCGUAGGUCAGAAAACAGGACUCAUUUUCAGCCCUGGAGUUUCAUGGCUCAGACCAGACAACUUCAGUUCACGACCUUUGCAUGAGAUAUGCAGUAUAAUUUUGUCCCUACUGGUAUGAAAGUCUUAAAUAAAGCACAAUAACCUUGUAA